This is a non-coding RNA of Triticum urartu, 125 nucleotides long. The record is from Rfam. NCBI's taxonomy places the organism in Eukaryota, Viridiplantae, Streptophyta, Magnoliopsida, Poales, Poaceae.
CUAAUACUCCCUCCGUCUAGAAAUACUUGUCAUCAAAAUGGAUGAAAAUGGAUGUAUCUAGAACAAAAAUACAUCUAGAUACAUCCAUUUUGAUGACAAGUAUUUCCGGACGGAGGGAGUACUAC